UGGCCAAACUACCCUUCGGAACACAAUACCCUCGGGAAACUGAGGCUAAUAGUGUAUACCACACUCACUCUGGAAUGACAAGUGUGCCAAACGCUCCGGCGCCGAAGGAUGUGGCUGCGGCCGAUUAGGUAGACGGUGGGGUAACGGCCCACCGUGCCGAUAAUCGGUACGGGUGGUGAGAGCCAGAACCCGGAGACGGAAUCUGAGACAAGAUUCCGGGCCCUACGGGGCGCAGCAGGCGCGAAACCUUUACACUGCACGACAGUGCGAUAAGGGGAUCCCAAGUGCGCAGGCAUAGAGCCUGCGCUUUUGUACACCCUAGGGAGGUGCACGAAUAAGGGCUGGGCAAGACCGGUGCCAGCCGCCGCGGUAAUACCGGCAGCCCAAGUGAUGGCCGAUCUUAUUGGGCCUAAAGCGUCCGUAGCUGGCCGCGCAAGUCCAUCGGGAAAUCCACCUGCUCAACAGGUGGACGUCCGGUGGAAACUGCACGGCUUGGGACCGGAAGGCGCGACGGGUACGUCCGGGGUAGGAGUGAAAUCCCGUAAUCCUGGACGGACCGCCGAUGGCGAAAGCACGUCGCGAAAACGGAUCCGACAGUGAGGGACGAAAGCUAGGGUCUCGAACCGGAUUAGAUACCCGGGUAGUCCUAGCCGUAAACAAUGCCUGCUAGGUGUGGCUCCCACUACGAGUGGGUGCUGUGCCGUAGGGAAGCCGCUAAGCAGGCCGCCUGGGAAGUACGUCCGCAAGGAUGAAACUUAAAGGAAUUGGCGGGGGAGCACUACAACCGGAGGAGCCUGCGGUUUAAUUGGACUCAACGCCGGACAUCUCACCAGCAUCGACUGUGGUAAUGACGGUCAGGUUGAUGACCUCGCCACGAGCCACAGAGAGGAGGUGCAUGGCCGCCGUCAGCUCGUACCGUGAGGCGUCCUGUUAAGUCAGGCAACGAGCGAGACCCGCAUCCGUACUUGCCAGCAGCACUGCGAAGUGGCUGGGGACAGUACGGAGACUGCCGUGGCCAACACGGAGGAAGGAACGGGCAACGGUAGGUCAGUAUGCCCCGAAUGUGCUGGGCAACACGCGGGCUACAAUGGUCAGGACAAAGGGUUCCUACUCCGAAAGGAGACGGUAAUCUCAGAAACCUGAUCGUAGUUCGGAUUGUGGGCUGCAACUCGCCCACAUGAAGCUGGAUUCGGUAGUAAUCGCGUGUCACAAGCGCGCGGUGAAUACGUCCCUGCUCCUUGCACACACCGCCCGUCAAAGCA
RNAcentral lists this ribosomal RNA (1262 nucleotides) under Halorubrum sp. RNAcentral's name for it is "bacterial SSU rRNA". It matches the Rfam family "Archaeal small subunit ribosomal RNA", at positions 101 to 1360 of the family's 1478-position model. Lineage: Archaea; Methanobacteriati; Methanobacteriota; Halobacteria; Halobacteriales; Haloferacaceae. The record is from RNAcentral.